Molecule: ribosomal RNA, 253 nt
Filed under: uncultured bacterium
Lineage: Bacteria
Description: partial 16S ribosomal RNA
Rfam family: Bacterial small subunit ribosomal RNA
Source: RNAcentral
UACGGGGGGGGCAAGCGUUGUUCGGAAUUACUGGGCGUAAAGGGCGCGUAGGCGGCCUGCUAAGUCGGAUGUGAAAUCCCUCGGCUCAACCGAGGAACUGCAUCCGAUACUGGCGGGCUUGAAUCCGGGAGAGGGAUGUGGAAUUCCAGGUGUAGCGGUGAAAUGCGUAGAGAUCCGGAGGAAGACCGGUGGCGAAGGCGGCCUGCUGGGCAGUUUCUGACACUGAGGCGCGACAGCGUGGGGAGCAAACAGG